RNA transcript from Poecile atricapillus (Black-capped chickadee), 4561 nucleotides. It is a transcript of the gene named WD repeat domain 20, with no coding region annotated. The transcript is spliced from 4 exons. The record is from RefSeq and is a predicted model, not a curated record. Lineage: Eukaryota; Metazoa; Chordata; Aves; Passeriformes; Paridae.
GCCGGCGGCUGCGCAGUGUCGGCACAUCCGGGCACUGGGGCAGGAUGAGCGCUCCUUUCCAAGAUGGCGGCGGAGGGAGGUGGGAAGGAGAUGAACGAGAUUAAGACCCAGUUCACCACCCGGGAGGGGCUGUACAAGCUGCUGAGCCACUCGGAGUACAGCCGGCCUAACCGCGUGCCCUUCAACUCGCAGGGCUCCAACCCCGUCCGCGUCUCCUUCGUCAACGUCAACGACCAGAGCGGCAACGGGGACCGGCUCUGCUUCAAUGUGGGCCGGGAGCUCUACUUCUACAUCUACAAGGGGGUCCGCAAGGCUGCGGACUUGAGUAAACCAAUAGACAAAAGGAUAUACAAAGGAACACAGCCUACAUGCCAUGACUUCAAUCACUUAACAGCCACAGCAGAAAGUGUGUCUCUACUAGUGGGCUUCUCUGCAGGCCAGGUCCAACUUAUAGACCCUAUUAAAAAAGAAACUAGCAAAUUAUUUAAUGAGGAAAGACUAAUAGACAAGUCCCGAGUAACCUGUGUAAAAUGGGUACCAGGUUCGGAAAGCCUUUUCCUAGUAGCUCAUUCCAGUGGCAAUAUGUACUUGUAUAACGUGGAGCACACUUGUGGUACCACAGCCCCGCACUACCAGCUACUUAAACAAGGAGAGAGUUUUGCAGUGCAUACUUGCAAGAGUAAAUCCACAAGAAACCCUCUGCUUAAAUGGACAGUAGGUGAGGGGGCCCUGAAUGAAUUUGCCUUUUCCCCUGAUGGGAAGUUCUUGGCGUGUGUGAGCCAGGAUGGUUUUCUUCGCGUGUUUAACUUUGAUUCAGUGGAAUUGCAUGGUACAAUGAAAAGCUACUUUGGAGGAUUGCUAUGUGUGUGUUGGAGCCCCGAUGGGAAAUACAUAGUGACAGGCGGAGAGGAUGACUUGGUGACAGUUUGGUCUUUCGUGGACUGUCGAGUUAUAGCGAGAGGCCACGGACAUAAAUCGUGGGUCAGUGUUGUUGCGUUUGAUCCAUAUACCACUAGUGUAGAAGAGAGUGACCCGAUGGAAUUUAGCGGAAGUGAUGAGGAUUUCCAAGACCUUCAUUUUGGCAGAGAUCGAGCAAAUAGCACGCAAUCUAGACUAUCCAAAAGGAACUCUACAGACAGUCGUCCAGUAAGUGUUACAUACAGAUUUGGUUCAGUAGGCCAGGACACACAGCUCUGUUUGUGGGAUCUUACAGAAGAUAUCCUCUUCCCCCACCAACCUCUCUCAAGAGCAAGGACACAUACAAAUGUCAUGAAUGCCACAAGUCCACCUGCAGGAAGUGGUGGAACUAACCCAGGAAGUAAUGGAAACAGUAUCACAACACCUGGAAACUCUGUACCCCCUCCUCUUCCACGGUCAAACAGCCUUCCACACUCUGCAGUCUCAAACGCUGGCAGUAAAAGCAGUGUCAUGGAUGGUGCCAUUGCUUCUGGCGUUAGUAAAUUUGCAACCUUAUCGCUACACGAUCGGAAGGAAAGACACCAUGAAAAAGAUCACAAGAGAAACCAUAGCAUGGGACAUAUAUCUAGCAAGAGCAGUGACAAACUGAACCUAGUUACUAAAACCAAAACGGACCCAGCUAAAACUUUGGGAACACCUCUCUGUCCCCGAAUGGAAGAUGUUCCCUUGUUAGAGCCUCUUAUCUGUAAAAAGAUAGCACAUGAAAGACUGACUGUGUUAAUUUUUCUUGAAGACUGUAUAGUCACUGCUUGUCAGGAGGGAUUUAUUUGCACAUGGGCAAGGCCUGGUAAAGUGGUAAGUUUUAAUCCUUAAUGCUGCAUCAAAGAACUAGAACUCUGAAUAGAUAGUUUUCUUGAAAUAUAAUGAAUGUUGAAUAUAAAAUUUCUUUAUGCUUAAUGUAAAAAAAAUAUCCUCAGAGCCAUACUUUUGGAUACUGCAUGCCAUAUUUCUGAAUGAUUUGAAGUGUCUUGGAUACAAUUAUUAAAUAUAGUUGCCUUCCAGCAGAAGAAAUAAAUACUGUGCAUCUAAACUAUUGAUCAGUGUUCUUAUACUUAAGCAUAACCACAAUAUGGUGAAAGCUAUUUAUGUAAAAAUUGAAGUAAAACCUGUCAAACACUAAAAUAAUCAUAAUCCUUCUAAUGCUUUCUACAAAAUAAGCACUCCCAAUGAGAGUAGCUUAUGAAAAGCUGCUGCUUCUAAGUCUAAUGAGAAACGUGAGCCUCUGAAAAAAUGAAAACCAAAGUGUUUUAUUCCUCCAUACUUCUCUGUGGUGGCCUGCCAUUAAUGUGAAACCAUUUCUUAUUAAAACAUCAGCCAUUUUAUGCACAGAUUUGUGAGCCCUGUACUGACUGUAGUUUAUGCUCUUGAAUUGUGAAUCAGUAUUAUCAAGGAACUCUAAUUUUAGCCAGGUUUUGAUUUAUGUAUUUAAGUUAGGGAUAAUCCUGCAAGCUUUCUCUCAGUAGUUUCAGUAUUCUGUUCCUGUCAGGUUUGUUAGGCAGUUAAACCACUACAAGCUCGUGUUUUUGAUGGCACCUGUUCCAUCAGCUGAACCUACAUUAGUCUAUUACUAGUUUUCACUCUUGAUGUUGAUGCACUUGAACACCUAUAUUUUAUUUUUCUUCUCUCCAAUGUAUAGAUAGCUAAAUUUUGACUGAAGCUGAAUGUGGUGAUUCUUACAUUAAAAAGUACUUUGUGCUACAAUAACUCUGCCAGCCAGUAACAGUUCAAAGGAAUACAGCUAUGAAAACAUUUCCAGAGCUGAAUUGAGGAAAAGAACCAUUAUUUUUGUGAAAAUUUCUGAAAGGGAAUGUAGAUUAUCACCUGAAGUAAAAGAAAUUAUCUGGUAAUACCCAAAUAAUGCCAUGUUGGGCAGCUUAAAUGAAAAUCUGUUGUUUGUUAGAUUUUAACCAUUUGGUUCAUAAAUCUGACUUUUGAAGUAGAGGUACUGUAUAUAUUUAGAUACCACAUCUUCAUUACUAUAAACUCGCAAGUAAAACUCAAUAAUUUUUCUUAAAAUUGUUUGUAUAAUGUAGGCUUUUUUGAGAUCUUACCAAAUUUGUCACAAUGUAGGUAUGCAUAAGAAUCUGUGUCUGUUCUGCAUCUUUAUGCAUAUUUAAGGUUGAAUCUAAAAACUUAAAAUUGAAAGCUCCUUUAUCAGAGAAGGGAGGAAAGUGUUACCUAAAAGUAUUUUUUGCCUGAGAACUACAAAUCCAGCAUUAAUUAAAAAAAAAAAAAAAAAGCACUCCCUUAAAACACUAAAUUAUUUAAAAUGUUUGCUCAAAAUGAAAGUAUUAAAGCAAUUAUACUUUUGUGACUCAGUGCACUUCACAUCUUACUAAUUACAGCAGUGCCUCAGAUUGCUAUUGUGAGCUACAUUUUCUUUUUGUACUAAAACUCCUUUGCAUACUAUUAAACACUACUCUGUCACGUUUAUUUUCAGUGGCUGAGGUGGGUUUUGUUAGACUAAGUAUAACUUAAAUAUUUUCGUGUAUUGACUUUGAUUUGGAAUAUGACAUUUCAAAUAUUUCAGAGAUAAAGUAUGCAGUACCAAAAAUCAGGAUUUAUGUAUUGGCCAAUAUGGAAAACUUUAACUACAGGGUUUAUUGUCAUCCCAAAACCAGGCCAAUUCUCCAAGUGGAACUGUAGUAUAGCCAUCACACUACUGCUAGCAAAUCUCUGAACGCAGGACAAGAAGUAAUGACAGUGGAACCAGGAGCUGUUCUUCAGGCAAAGAGCAUCACAAAUUAUAAUGUGGCAGAGUGUAAAGAUGGAAUUAUGUGAAUCACAUAGUGACUUGGAAAGGACAAAUGUAAGGAGUUCUCACUACAGCUGAUCCUGCUAGGCUGCUCACCCAAGGAAGAGUUUGCAUUGGAGAAAAAGCAAAAAGCUUCCUUUAGUGCUGCAGGAAAAAGUAGUAACAUUUUUGUUUUCUUUAUACUUUUCAAGUCCAGUGUAAUUUAAUCUCUCUAUAAAUAUAUAAGAUAUAUAUAUAUAUAUAUAUAGUGUAAAAUAAGAUAUGUUUCUUAAAUUCAAGUAAGUUCAAUGGUUAAACUAGUACUUCACCAUUGUUUAUUUUGCACUGAUUUUUUUAACCAGAGAUGGCUAGAAGACAGCCUGGAAUGCACUCAUGGAAAAUGAAAGUCAUUACUUUCUGGCUUCAAAAUGUUUUUCAGGAAGAUGGAUGCUGCAAUCAUAGAUUUUUUUAAAACAAAAUUGUUUUGCACUUAAAUAGUUUAAUGCUUAUAGAGAAUUACUUUAAAAUUGGUGUCCAGACACCAGAAAAACUAUGUUGUGGAAAAAAGAUCCUUUGUAUCUAUUAAACAUUUAUUUUAAUAUUGUUGUUUCCAACUGCAAUCGGCUCUGUAUUAUAUGUAUAAAUAAUGUAAUUCAGUGAUGGGAAAGGGGAGUAAUGGAUCAUUACACUAGAAAUUCUCAUUCAUUUAAGAAAGUGAUAUUUCUAAUUCAGAAAAUACAUAUUAAACUAUCUUGAAUAUGCAUUUUUGUUUACUUUCUGUUCAAAUCCAAUCACUUUUGAUGUAACCAAUUCUUUGUUGAAUUAAAUGUUUGGUACAGAAAUACUAUC